RNAcentral lists this ribosomal RNA (1372 nucleotides) under uncultured bacterium. RNAcentral describes it as "bacterial SSU rRNA". It matches the Rfam family "Bacterial small subunit ribosomal RNA", at positions 28 to 1381 of the family's 1533-position model. The record is from RNAcentral.
GAUGAACGCUGGCGGCGUGCCUAAUACAUGCAAGUCGAGCGAACGGACGAGAAGCUUGCUUCUCUGAUGUUAGCGGCGGACGGGUGAGUAACACGUGGAUAACCUACCUAUAAGACUGGGAUAACUUCGGGAAACCGGAGCUAAUACCGGAUAAUAUUUUGAACCGCAUGGUUCAAAAGUGAAAGACGGUCUUGCUGUCACUUAUAGAUGGAUCCGCGCUGCAUUAGCUAGUUGGUAAGGUAACGGCUUACCUAGGCAACGAUGCAUAGCCGACCUGAGAGGGUGAUCGGCCACACUGGAACUGAGACACGGUCCAGACUCCUACGGGAGGCAGCAGUAGGGAAUCUUCCGCAAUGGGCGAAAGCCUGACGGAGCAACGCCGCGUGAGUGAUGAAGGUCUUCGGAUCGUAAAACUCUGUUAUUAGGGAAGAACAUAUGUGUAAGUAACUGUGCACAUCUUGACGGUACCUAAUCAGAAAGCCACGGCUAACUACGUGCCAGCAGCCGCGGUAAUACGUAGGUGGCAAGCGUUAUCCGGAAUUAUUGGGCGUAAAGCGCGCGUAGGCGGUUUUUUAAGUCUGAUGUGAAAGCCCACGGCUCAACCGUGGAGGGUCAUUGGAAACUGGAAAACUUGAGUGCAGAAGAGGGAAGUGGAAUUCCAUGUGUAGCGGUGAAAUGCGCAGAGAUAUGGAGGAACACCAGUGGCGAAGGCGACUUUCUGGUCUGUAACUGACGCUGAUGUGCGAAAGCGUGGGGAUCAAACAGGAUUAGAUACCCUGGUAGCCCACGCCGUAAACGAUGAGUGCUAAGUGUUAGGGGGUUUCCGCCCCUUAGUGCUGCAGCUAACGCAUUAAGCACUCCGCCUGGGGAGUACGACCGCAAGGUUGAAACUCAAAGGAAUUGACGGGGACCCGCACAGGCGGUGGAGCAUGUGGUUUAAUUCGAAGCAACGCGAAGAACCUUACCAAAUCUUGACAUCCUUUGACAACUCUAGAGAUAGAGCCUUCCCCUUCGGGGGACAAAGUGACAGGUGGUGCAUGGUUGUCGUCAGCUCGUGUCGUGAGAUGUUGGGUUAAGUCCCGCAACGAGCGCAACCCUUAAGCUUAGUUGCCAUCAUUAAGUUGGGCACUCUAAGUUGACUGCCGGUGACAAACCGGAGGAAGGUGGGGAUGACGUCAAAUCAUCAUGCCCCUUAUGAUUUGGGCUACACACGUGCUACAAUGGACAAUACAAAGGGCAGCGAAACCGCGAGGUCAAGCAAAUCCCAUAAAGUUGUUCUCAGUUCGGAUUGUAGUCUGCAACUCGACUACAUGAAGCUGGAAUCGCUAGUAAUCGUAGAUCAGCAUGCUACGGUGAAUACGUUCCCGGGUCU